Oryzias melastigma (Indian medaka) is the source of this 2529-nucleotide RNA transcript. RefSeq lists it as uncharacterized. NCBI's taxonomy places the organism in Eukaryota, Metazoa, Chordata, Actinopteri, Beloniformes, Adrianichthyidae. The transcript has 2 exons. The record is from RefSeq and is a predicted model, not a curated record.
GUUCAAAGUAGACCACAAGAUGUCACUAUAGAUCAGGAUUUUAAUCUUGAAAACUUUUAUUUUGAAAGCAAGGCUUUAUUAUGUUGUGUCCCGGUUUUAAGAGGAAGUUGUGGGUGGGGUUUGUUCAGGUACUUUAUCCUCUGACCAGCUCGCGGUUCUCAUUCAGACCUUUGCCGUUAACAGACUCGUACCGGUAAUAGAAAUGGCAGCUUCAUAUCUGACCACCGUGGCUGACUUGAUAGCGGAGGUUGGCGCUAACUCUAGGGGAACAUCGCCGUACAAGAAAUGGAAAGGAAUUAAGGUCAAAGUCGUUGCGGCUAGGAAUUUUGCUAAAUGUACGGAGUUUAUUUUUACUGAGAAAGGAGUUUCUGUGGGCCGUGAAAAAACAUCGGUUUCGUUCAGCGCUGCAGAUAAUACCGGGAUAGUUAAAAUCUCAGCCGAUCAAGAGUGCUUCAGGGAGAUCGGCAUGUGCUUGACGGAGGGAAAUACGUACAUGAUUAAGAAUUUCGGUGUGCUAAAUGCCGUAAAGGAUGGGAGCCUCCAAAUUUAUUUGAGAGCAAGUUCCAAAGUGUACCGCUGUGCUCCAAUCGUCCUGUCCGAAGAAAGAGCCGCACAAGCAGAACAGGUUCUCAACCCCCGAUCCCCCGUGAAAGGUCGGCUGGACGAUGCUACAACCAGUGGCUUGUUCACUGUGCAGGGAAGGAUCUCUUCAGUAAGUAUUUCUGAAAUUAUUACUUUUAUAAUACUGUACUUUUGUAGAAGUCAUUACACGUUUUCAUGUUUCCUGUGUCAUUGGUUGAAGUAAGUAUGGUAUUUUUGUAGUUAUUAAUUAGUCCCACAUUUAUAAUAUUGUAGUUGUGUGUUUUUUGUGUUCCUGAAAGGCUGAUCUGGUGGGAAAUUGCUGUCCCAUUGACUGUUUCUUGUUAUUAAGAAAUUGGAAGUUUUAGUUUGUGUUGUGGUCAAGUAGAAUGUUGUGCUUUAUUAGAAAUUCUUAGUAAUUUAAAUUUGUAAACAUGAGAACAUGUGAAAUGGUUAUUUUGCUGUUUACAAGAGCAGUUACAUCUGCAGUGGAUUAUUGCUAUUAUAAUCUAAGAAAAAGUUGAAAAAUGUUGAAAUUUACUCUGAUUUUUUUCUUCUUUUUCACCAUUUGUCAUGUAACAUGUUCUAUGACAGAGGGCUUGGACUGCUGUUUUUAGAAUAUGGAAUGUGUGUGCUUUUACAAUGGUGCUGUGCAGUAUUAACAUCUUAUUUUGUUAAAAUGGCUUUUCUAUUCUAGCUGUCUGCAAUCCGCAAAAUUCAGGGUGCUGAUGGAGUGAUUCCAGUGAGAGAUCUGGAUGUCUGCGGGGAUGAUGGGGCCAUAAUUCCAGUGACCCUGUGGAGGGAGGCAGCUCUGCAGGACGUGACAGCAAAUUCUUCAGUGUCCAUCAGCCACCUCAGGAUAAGCAAGCAUACCACGUUCGGGACCAAAGCUGCAUCCACGAAAUAUACCAUCAUUGAGGAGGUGUCAGUCUCUUCAAGGAAGCUGUGCAUCACCAUAAAUGGUGUAGCGGUGUCCACGGAGGAGGUGCUGAUCAGCACGGUCCAGGGAGGUGAAUUUAAAACCUCUUGGGACAUUCUUCAGCAGAUGGCACCUGGUGUAGAGCAGGAGGACAUGUACGACUUGUUACCAUUAAAAGUUGAUGUGGAUGUAGAAGGUGAAAAUAUCAUCAAAGUGCAUCAUUAAGUUAAAGCUCAAAAGUGUUCAACGUUGUUGGAACACUAGUGCCUUAGGCUGUGUGAGGACAGCAUGGUUUUUAAGGAUUUAACUAAGUUUAUUUUCUUGGAGUUUGGACAAUGUCACUUUUUUAAGUUAGAUGUGGUAGUAGUAAUUUUAGAACUUUAUGUUUAUUUAUAUAUGUAUAUAUACAUGUAAAUCUACCAGAGUUUACAGUCAUAUUCAUAUAUAUUUAAAUAAUGUAGAAAUAACGCUGUUUGCACCUUCGGUUCACAUGUACCAUAACUAUUGAGCCAGUCUUUAUUUUUCUACUGUAUAGUAAUGAGAGACUAAAGUUUAUUUGUUACAUUUUGUUAAAGAUAAAAAUAUUUUAUUACUAUACAUUACUAUACAAUACUGUUUGUGAUUGAAAUUCAUGUUUAUUUGGAGAAGGAUCUGAUUUUUGUUUUGAUCUAAACCUCAACCUAAUGAGGAUUUUUUGUUUGAAAAUGCAGUUUUUAUCCACUGUUUUUCUUUUCAAUAAAGCUUUUUGUGAAUAAUUCUUCUGGUGUGAAUAUUGUAAUGUAGUGCAAGACAUUCCUGAGAAAUUAAUUUGAGUAAAAUCUACAUGUUUUUCAUCCUUCAUAAGUAAUUAAAUAUUUUACUAGAACAGUUUAUGAUUGGAACAAGUUCAAAACAUGCUAUUUUUAUUGUAGAGCAGUACAUAUAUUAUGCUAAUAAUCAAAGAUUUAAAUUGACAAAAUUGCAUAUAAUGACAACUGCAAAGGAUUGUACCACUUCAGGAUCUUGUUUUGAACAGAAUAUUCUGCCUCAAA